This is a long non-coding RNA of Xenia sp. Carnegie-2017, 181 nucleotides long. RefSeq lists it as uncharacterized. NCBI's taxonomy places the organism in Eukaryota, Metazoa, Cnidaria, Anthozoa, Malacalcyonacea, Xeniidae. The transcript is spliced from 4 exons. The record is from RefSeq and is a predicted model, not a curated record.
GAAAACAAAUCGACAUAGAAAAAUAUUUAGAAAGACAUUUUGAUGAGCAACAGUAAGUUGAAAACGGUAUCAUCAAACUACGAGAUGUACAUCAUCAAAAUAUGCGAAUUAAAGUACCUCUGUUGUCAUUAAGCGAAGCAAAGUUUUCAACCAGUUCCUCUUGUACUCUGCGUUGAUACCA